AAAGCAUCUAAACAGGUCCUGGUCUUUGUGUGGUAGACCAUGAUUUGGUAGCUGGUGCUGAUAGAAACAUUCUCCUAGCAACAGCACCACUGGCUCUCCUUGUGCCAGCUGGGGGCAAAUAUGGAGAAAACAUUU
Molecule: small nucleolar RNA, 135 nt
Organism: Astyanax mexicanus (Mexican tetra)
Lineage: Eukaryota; Metazoa; Chordata; Actinopteri; Characiformes; Acestrorhamphidae
Source: Ensembl